RNAcentral lists this ribosomal RNA (433 nucleotides) under uncultured bacterium. RNAcentral's name for it is "partial 16S ribosomal RNA". It matches the Rfam family "Bacterial small subunit ribosomal RNA", at positions 29 to 507 of the family's 1533-position model. The record is from RNAcentral.
AACGAACGCUGGCGGCAUGCCUAACACAUGCAAGUCGAACGAGACCUUCGGGUCUAGUGGCGCACGGGUGCGUAACGCGUGGGAACCUGCCCUUAGGUUCGGAAUAACUCCCCGAAAGGGGUGCUAAUACCGGAUAAUGUCUUCGGACCAAAGAUUUAUCGCCUUUGGAUGGGCCCGCGUUGGAUUAGCUAGUUGGUAGGGUAAAAGCCUACCAAGGCGACGAUCCAUAGCUGGUCUGAGAGGAUGAUCAGCCACACUGGGACUGAGACACGGCCCAGACUCCUACGGGAGGCAGCAGUGGGGAAUAUUGGACAAUGGGCGAAAGCCUGAACCAGCAAUGCCGCGUGAGUGAUGAAGGCCUUAGGGUUGUAAAGCUCUUUUACCCGGAAUGAUAAUGACAGUACCGGGAGAAUAAGCUCCGGCUAACUCCGUG